AUUGAACGCUGGCGGCAGGCCUAACACAUGCAAGUCGAGCGGAUGAAGGGAGCUUGCUCCUGGAUUCAGCGGCGGACGGGUGAGUAAUGCCUAGGAAUCUGCCUGGCAGAGGGGGAUAACGUCCGGACACGGGCGCUAAUACCGCAUACGUCCUGAGGGAGAAAGUGGGGGAUCUUCGGACCUCACGCUAUCAGAUGAGCCUAGGUCGGAUUAGCUAGUUGGUGGGGUAAAGGCCCACCCAGGCGACGAUCCGUAACUGGUCUGAGAGGAUGAUCAGUCACACUGGAACUGAGACACGGUCCAGACUCCUACGGGAGGCAGCAGUGGGGAAUAUUGGACAAGGGGCGAAAGCCUGAUCCAGCCAUGCCGCGUGUGUGAAGAAGGUCUUCGGAUUGUAAAGCACUUUAAGUUGGGAGGAAGGGCAGUAAGUUAAUACCUUGCUGUUUUGACGUUACCAACAGAAUAAGCACCGGCUAACUUCGUG
This 484-nucleotide ribosomal RNA is filed under the name uncultured bacterium. RNAcentral describes it as "partial 16S ribosomal RNA". It matches the Rfam family "Bacterial small subunit ribosomal RNA", at positions 30 to 507 of the family's 1533-position model. The record is from RNAcentral.